Molecule: long non-coding RNA, 1042 nt
Organism: Zootermopsis nevadensis
Lineage: Eukaryota; Metazoa; Arthropoda; Insecta; Blattodea; Termopsidae
Source: RefSeq, a predicted model, not a curated record
AACUGAAAAGUAUCCCUUCUCUCACUCGCUUCGUUCCCUCACCUACCUUUACCUAACCUAACCCUCGUCCCCUUUCCCCUUCACGACAGCUCAUUGUACCCUAACCCAACCCCCAGCGCCUGUAAUAACGGACCGACGCGAAUGAUCGCUCUCCGCUCGGCAGUUGUUUCUUGAGUUGCAGCUCACGCACAAGCCAGGAUCUAUUGUCGCUGAAGUUUGGACCUGCGUCCUGACAUCGCAAAACAGUGGAGCGCGUCGUCUUAAAAGUGUUUGAAAUUCAAAACAAGAACAAGUACAAAGAAUCCGGUAUUUUGCAGCUGGUUACCAUUCCAUGCUAUGCUAUGCUGAACACACAGGAUCAAUGUAACAAACUCUUAUUUUCAAGUUCCUGUUUCUUAAACGUUUUUGCGGAUUUUUGUGGGAUCAAAGUUUGUUCGUUUGAGAAAUGUGAAUGGAUUUACGAUACACAAUGAAACGCACAGUGAUUACAUCUACAUUACAGGGUUUACAAAGCCUUUACCAACCUUGUCAUGGCUUUGUAUAUUAUCCACAGAGCAGAACUGAGAGUUCUCCUUAAAGCGAUCGACAUCUGUGCUCUUAAGACAGUGCAGUUAGCUCAGUGACAUCAGGUGUUAGAGUUGCUGCUACUGAUAUUACAGUUAGCGUUAUAUAGCAAAUGGUAAUAUUUUCCCAGAGCGCUUAGAACACUACAAAAUAUCCUCAUGGGACAGCUUGUAAGUGAGCGGACAUUUCAACUGGAUGUCUCCUGGCAACAAGUCUACUGUCGCACACAGAUGUGGAACAGAGCUUAUGCAGUCUGAUGUGAGAUGCCAAAAAUAAUGGAAACAGUGCAUACCACUUCAGUGAUUUUUAAUAUUCUAGCCUCAAAAUUCUUUUAACAACUUCAUCUUCAUCAUAAUCCAAUCUCGAACUUUGGCCAGGGGUUGGCCGAUUUUGGUUUCAACAUUAAUGCCAUCCAGCAGUCUUUUGACUGGGCACCCAGGUCUUCUUCUCUCUUUCGGAUGAUAUUUCAGCAACCUGU